CAUGUACUCCCUCCGUUCCAAAAUAGAUGACUCAACUUUGUACUAACUAUUAGUUAGUACAAAGUUGAGUCAUCUAUUUUGGAACGGAGGGAGUAUAAA
This is a non-coding RNA of Triticum aestivum (bread wheat), 99 nucleotides long. The record is from Rfam. Lineage: Eukaryota; Viridiplantae; Streptophyta; Magnoliopsida; Poales; Poaceae.